This is a long non-coding RNA of Oncorhynchus tshawytscha (Chinook salmon), 525 nucleotides long. Lineage: Eukaryota; Metazoa; Chordata; Actinopteri; Salmoniformes; Salmonidae. The record is from Ensembl.
GGUUGGGUUCCCAGUAGAUGUACUCUAGAACUCUUUAAUGUUCCUUCCAUUCUAGAACAGAAGGUUGGGUUCCCAGUAGAUGUACUCUAGAACUCUUUAAUGUUCCUUCCAUUCUAGAACAGAAGGUUGUGUUCCCAGUAGAUGUACUCUAGAACUCUUUAAUGUUCCUUCCAUUCUAGAACAGAAGGUUGUGUUCCCAGUAGAUGCAUAUCUAAUGAGGGGUUGGUGUCUCACAUGUUGAUGUUGAUACCUUAGUUAUUGCUAUUGUUUUACGUGAUAUUAAUAUUUUAUAUUAAUUUUGUUGUAAAGAUUGUAUGGAAUUCUUCUCCAGCACAGGUUCUGCCAUGUUGUUGAUCUGAAAGCAUGUCUCUUCAAUAAGUGUGUCUUUUUGUUUUUUAUAAAGAACUUGGUUUCAUAUUUGUUUGGAUGGUAGAAGUUAAACAUUGUGGUUUUUAUUAUGAGACACUAAUGUCUGUAUAUGUGGCACUUUGGAUUGAAGUAUUAAAAUAUAAUGGGGGAAAAUAA